This 454-nucleotide ribosomal RNA is filed under the name uncultured bacterium. RNAcentral's name for it is "bacterial SSU rRNA". It matches the Rfam family "Bacterial small subunit ribosomal RNA", at positions 28 to 524 of the family's 1533-position model. The record is from RNAcentral.
GACGAACGCUGGCGGUGUGCUUCACACAUGCAAGUCGAACGAGGUAGCAAUACCUAGUGGCGGACGGGUGAGUAACGCGUGGGAAUCUGCCUUUAGAUGGGGGAUAACGGGUCGAAAGACUCGCUAAUACCGCAUAUGACGAAAGUUGAAAGGAGUAAUCCGUCUAAAGAUGAGCCCGCGUCCGAUUAGCUAGUUGGUAGAGUAAAAGCCUACCAAGGCGACGAUCGGUAGCUGGUCUGAGAGGAGUGAUCAGCCACAAUGGGACUAGAGACACGGCCCAUACUCCUACGGGAGGCAGCAGUGGGAAUUUUACGCAAUGGGCGAAAGCCUGACGUAGCGACACCGCGUGAGCGAAGAAGCCCCUUGGGGUGUAAAGCUCUGUCAGCUGGAACGAAAAAAUGACGGUACCAGCAGAGGAAGCAUCGGCUAACUACGUGCCAGCAGCCGCGGUAAU